UUUCACCAGUUUCUCUGCACGAAUACCGGGAGAAACCGAGCGGUGUUCUUCGUGUUCUUCAUAAUCAAACGAAGAUUUGAAGGCGUUAUUGGAAUCCGAUGGAGGCGUAUGAAUAGUCAAAACGAAGCUCUCGACGCGUAGAAUAUAGAUUAAUCGACCAUAACAGUGCAGAUGUAUCAGGAUUUGGACGAGACGUGUACGCUCGAAGACGUCAGGAAGUCGAAAUGGUAUUGCAAGGCGAAUAAGGGAUGAAUCGAGUAAGCGAAGCGAUGUGGCGAAUAGAGUACGGCUAGAGAUGGUCUAGAAAUUAUGAUAUGGAUAGAUUGUGAAAGUGGAAAGAUGAGAUAGAGAUGUGAGACUGGAGUCAGAUUUAAGAAAGGAUUAAAGAUGAAUGGCUAGUCUAUGAUUGCGAGUAAAGCUAAGGCUAGGCGAGGAGUGUUCAGGAAAGUUGAUGAGGUUGGUGCAAGCUAGAGCUGUGCUACAGAGAUUCAAGUGCAAGUCAUAGCUGGAAUAGUUGACAGUGAUUCUUCUUAUCGAAGAUGAUCUGAUUUGGUAAGAGAUGUUGUGUAAUAAUAGUGGUAGAUUCUAAUUUCAAUACUGUAACCUGGAUGCGAUCCUGUUGUUUUAGGGGGUACAAAUGUUCUCUUUCGAAUCUUUUAUUAUGGCUUUCAAGUUUUGAAAUUCAGGUUUUGAAAUCAUUUGAUUAAUAUUCUCUUUCAGAUCUUUUAAUAAAUCUUUUUGUUUUCAAAUUAUUUGAAUUUCCAUUAUCAAAAAAAAAAAUAUACAGGUUUCCAAAGUGUUUUAAAAAGGUUUUUGUGUGGUGACGUCAGGAUCCAGACCCCCGGAUUCUCGGACUGUCACACCAAGGACUUGGUAUGACACCCUCUCUGAGUUUUUAAUUGAAAAUAAUUUCACUAGAGGUGUCAUAGACAAAACUCUCUUUUAGAAAUUGCAUGAUAAUGAUAAGAUAUUUGUUCAAAUAUAUGUUGAUGAUAUUAUAUUUGGUUCUACUAACGAUAACUUGUGCAAGAGAUUUGCUAAGUUAAUGCAGAGUAAUUAUGAGAUGAGUAUGAUGGGUGAGCUAUCCUACUUUCUUGGUCUUCAAGUAAGCCAAAAGGAAGAUGGAAUCUUUAUUUGCCAGUCAAAGUAUGUCAGAGAUCUUCUACGGAAGUACAAUCUAGAAGACUGUUCACCGGAAAAGACACCCAUGGCCACUGCCACUAAGCUUGACCAGGAUAAAUCUGGUAAGAAAGUUGAUAUCUCAAGCUAUCGAGGUAUGAUUGGCUCAUUACUCUAUCUCACUGCUAGUAGACCAGAUAUUAUGUUUGCAACAUGUUUGUGUGCUAGGUUUCAGGCUGAUCCUAAAGAAUCACAUCUUAUAGCCGUCAAAAGAAUAUUUAGAUAUCUUAAGGGUACACCUGGUUUAGGUAUUUGGUACCCUAAGAAUACUAGUUUUGACUUAUCCAGCUAUACAGAUUCUGAUUAUGCAGGUUGCAGGAUUGAUAGAAAGAGUACGUCCGGAAGCUGUCAAUUUCUAGGAUGUCGAUUGGUUUCCUGGUACAGCAAGAAGCAACACUCAGUGUCCACUUCUACUGCUGAAGCUGAGUACAUAGCUGCUGGCAGUUGUUGUGCUCAGAUUCUCUGGAUACGAAAUCAUAAAUGAUUAUGGUAUCUCUGUCGACAAAAUUCCAAUAUUUUGUGACAACACCAGUGCCAUAGCCAUUUCAAACAAUCCAGUGCAACACUCCAGAACCAAGCACAUAGAUAUCAGGUAUCAUUUUAUUCGAGAACAUGUCAUGAAUGGUACUAUGGUGUUACAUUUCGUACCCACGGCUGAUCAGAUUGCAGACAUCUUCACUAAACCACUUGAUGAAUCCACUUUCUCUAAGUUGGUUUGUGAGCUAGGGAUGUUAAAUAUGCAGUGAUUCUCUUUGUAUAUAUUUUAUCUGUAUUUUAUAUAUUAUUAUAUAUUUAUGUGAAUUCUCUGUGUAAUUAUAUCUAUUUUAUUAGAUUUUAUAUAAUUAUUUGUAAAUUAUCUGAUAAUUUUAUGUGUGAUUAUGCAUGUUUAUUUUCCUAUAAUUUUCUAAGUGCUGCAUAC
Daucus carota subsp. sativus is the source of this 2098-nucleotide long non-coding RNA. RefSeq lists it as uncharacterized. Lineage: Eukaryota; Viridiplantae; Streptophyta; Magnoliopsida; Apiales; Apiaceae. The transcript has 3 exons. The record is from RefSeq and is a predicted model, not a curated record.